GUGCCAGCCGCCGCGGUAAUACGGAGGGUGCAAGCGUUAUCCGGAUUCAUUGGGUUUAAAGGGUGCGCAGGCGGAUACUUAAGUCAGUGGUGAAAUCCCGGGGCUCAACCCCGGAACUGCCAUUGAUACUGAAUAUCUGGAAUACGGUUGAAGUGGGCGGAAUGUAGCAUGUAGCGGUGAAAUGCAUAGAGAUGCUACAGAACACCGAUCGCGAAGGCAGCUCACUAAGCCGAUAUUGACGCUCAGGCACGAAAGCGUGGGGAGCGAACAGGAUUAGAUACCCUGGUAGUCCACGCCGUAAACGAUGAUAACUCGUUGUUGGCGACACACAGUCAGCGACUAAGCGAAAGCGAUAAGUUAUCCACCUGGGGAGUACGAUCGCAAGGUUGAAACUCAAAUGAAUUGACGG
Molecule: ribosomal RNA, 409 nt
Filed under: uncultured bacterium
Lineage: Bacteria
Description: bacterial SSU rRNA
Rfam family: Bacterial small subunit ribosomal RNA
Source: RNAcentral